This 468-nucleotide ribosomal RNA is filed under the name uncultured bacterium. RNAcentral's name for it is "partial 16S ribosomal RNA". It matches the Rfam family "Bacterial small subunit ribosomal RNA", at positions 28 to 507 of the family's 1533-position model. The record is from RNAcentral.
GACGAACGCUGGCGGCGUGCUUAACACAUGCAAGUCGAACGGAAAGGCCCUGCUUUUGUGGGGUGCUCGAGUGGCGAACGGGUGAGUAACACGUGAGUAACCUGCCCUUGACUUUGGGAUAACUUCAGGAAACUGGGGCUAAUACCGGAUAGGAGCUCCUGCUGCAUGGUGGGGGUUGGAAAGUUUCGGCGGUUGGAGAUGGACUCGCGGCUUAUCAGCUUGUUGGUGGGGUAGUGGCUUACCAAGGCUUUGACGGGUAGCCGGCCUGAGAGGGUGACCGGCCACAUUGGGACUGAGAUACGGCCCAGCCUCCUACGGGAGGCAGCAGUGGGGAAUAUUGCACAAUGGGCGGAAGCCUGAUGCAGCAACGCCGCGUGCGGGAUGACGGCCUUCGGGUUGUAAACCGCUUUCGCCUGUGACGAAGCGUGAGUGACGGUAAUGGGUAAAGAAGCACCGGCUAACUACGUG